GGAUGCUGACGUCCAGAGAGGUUAAGCACUGGGAUCUAGGCCACACAGCCAGGCAGCCGCAGCUUCCGGAUUCAAACCCAGUAGCUGUUGACCGACCGAGCAUGGCUUGAUGAGCAGUGCCAUGUCUGCACCUGGAUCUGAACGAGUGAACCCCAGGCCGCUGAAGCGGAACAUGCACACUUAACCACUGCACCACCGAGCCGGCCCCUCAGCUGGGAUUUUUCAAGUCGCCAGUCUUUCCAUCUGCAGGCCAGGAUCGCAGAUCCCUGUCCAGUCCACUGUGAGGCCAACGAUAAUGACAGCUCCUGGACACAGCACGUUUGCAUAGUGCUUGACGCAGCUUCACUCCUGUCAUCCUCACCGCUUUGUGCAAUUAACGGCACCAUCGGACCCAUGAAGAAAAUGAGGCACAGAGAGGUCUUUCAAAAACAGACUCCGAGAUAAGGAAGCGGCAAGCUUUGGAGAUGCUCAAGAGAAAAUGCAGCCAUUAAAAAAAUUGCCAUGCGAUAGUUAUGAAAUUUCCCUAAAUUCAUUUUGUGGAGUGAGAGACAUAAUUUAAACGUGAAGUUAUCGAGAGCUGAGAUGAACCACACGUCACGUGCCAUUUAAUCUGGCAAGGAAACAGGCCACUUGGAAUUGCUAACUAGGCCUAAUUCAUUACGUCUUGGUGAACGCUGUACUUUUGCUCUUUGAGUCUUUCAACUUGUGCGUUUAAUGUGUUUACCCAGGCCUCAUGGAAAAUGGAUGGGGAUAGUAACAGAAAUACUGUAUCCUUGUUUAAAUCACGUUACAUUUUUCAAACAGCUCGGUGAUUGUUCAGAAAGAUCAUACCUUCUUCCGAAGCAUUUAUGAAACAAUUAUUUACAUUACAUUAAAAACUUUAAUUGCCUUGAAGCACGUGCUCUGAGACACAAAUAUUGGAAAAUCAUCAAAAAUAUCUGUCACGAUUCUCUCUCCUUUACAACUCUUCUAAACUUUAUGUUUUUUAUAACCCUCUGUAUUGAUCUAUUGUCCCAGACCAAGAGUGAUGUCAGAAGUCCAAGCUGGGUCAUAAAAAGAGAAUAUAAUUUUCA
RNAcentral lists this long non-coding RNA (1073 nucleotides) under Equus caballus (horse). RNAcentral's name for it is "lncRNA (ENSECAG00000037899.3)". The record is from RNAcentral. Lineage: Eukaryota; Metazoa; Chordata; Mammalia; Perissodactyla; Equidae.